GAUGAACGCUGGCGGCGUGCCUAAUACAUGCAAGUCGAGCGAACGGACGAGAAGCUUGCUUCUCUGAUGUUAGCGGCGGACGGGUGAGUAACACGUGGAUAACCUACCUAUAAGACUGGGAUAACUUCGGGAAACCGGAGCUAAUACCGGAUAAUAUUUUGAACCGCAUGGUUCAAAAGUGAAAGACGGUCUUGCUGUCACUUAUAGAUGGAUCCGCGCUGCAUUAGCUAGUUGGUAAGGUAACGGCUUACCAAGGCAACGAUGCAUAGCCGACCUGAGAGGGUGAUCGGCCACACUGGAACUGAGACACGGUCCAGACUCCUACGGGAGGCAGCAGUAGGGAAUCUUCCGCAAUGGGCGAAAGCCUGACGGAGCAACGCCGCGUGAGUGAUGAAGGUCUUCGGAUCGUAAAACUCUGUUAUUAGGGAAGAACAUAUGUGUAAGUAACUGUGCACAUCUUGACGGUACCUAAUCAGAAAGCCACGGCUAACUACGUGCCAGCAGCCGCGGUAAUACGUAGGUGGCAAGCGUUAUCCGGAAUUAUUGGGCGUAAAGCGCGCGUAGGCGGUUUUUUAAGUCUGAUGUGAAAGCCCACGGCUCAACCGUGGAGGGUCAUUGGAAACUGGAAAACUUGAGUGCAGAAGAGGAAAGUGGAAUUCCAUGUGUAGCGGUGAAAUGCGCAGAGAUAUGGAGGAACACCAGUGGCGAAGGCGACUUUCUGGUCUGUAACUGACGCUGAUGUGCGAAAGCGUGGGGAUCAAACAGGAUUAGAUACCCUGGUAGUCCACGCCGUAAACGAUGAGUGCUAAGUGUUAGGGGGUUUCCGCCCCUUAGUGCUGCAGCUAACGCAUUAAGCACUCCGCCUGGGGAGUACGACCGCAAGGUUGAAACUCAAAGGAAUUGACGGGGACCCGCACAAGCGGUGGAGCAUGUGGUUUAAUUCGAAGCAACGCGAAGAACCUUACCAAAUCUUGACAUCCUUUGACAACUCUAGAGAUAGAGCCUUCCCCUUCGGGGGACAAAGUGACAGGUGGUGCAUGGUUGUCGUCAGCUCGUGUCGUGAGAUGUUGGGUUAAGUCCCGCAACGAGCGCAACCCUUAAGCUUAGUUGCCAUCAUUAAGUUGGGCACUCUAAGUUGACUGCCGGUGACAAACCGGAGGAAGGUGGGGAUGACGUCAAAUCAUCAUGCCCCUUAUGAUUUGGGCUACACACGUGCUACAAUAGACAAUACAAAGGGCAGCGAAACCGCGAGGUCAAGCAAAUCCCAUAAAGUUGUUCUCAGUUCGGAUUGUAGUCUGCAACUCGACUACAUGAAGCUGGAAUCGCUAGUAAUCGUAGAUCAGCAUGCUACGGUGAAUACGUUCCCGGGUCU
RNAcentral lists this ribosomal RNA (1372 nucleotides) under uncultured bacterium. RNAcentral's name for it is "bacterial SSU rRNA". It matches the Rfam family "Bacterial small subunit ribosomal RNA", at positions 28 to 1381 of the family's 1533-position model. The record is from RNAcentral.